CUACGGGAGGCUCCAGUGGGGAAUAUUGCACAAUGGGCGCAAGCCUGAUGCAGCCAUGCCGCGUGUAUGAAGAAGGCCUUCGGGUUGUAAAGUACUUUCAGCGGGGAGGAAGGGAGUAAAGUUAAUACCUUUGCUCAUUGACAUUACCCGCAGAAGAAGCACCGGCUAAGUCCGUGCCAGCAGCCGCGGUAAUACGGAGGGUGCAAGCGUUAAUCGGAAUUACUGGGCGUAAAGCGCACGCAGGCGGUUUGUUAAGUCAGAUGUGAAAUCCCCGGGCUCAACCUGGGAACUGCAUCUGAUACUGGCAAGCUUGAGUCUCGUAGAGGGGGGUAGAAUUCCAGGUGUAGCGGUGAAAUGCGUAGAGAUCUGGAGGAAUACCGGUGGCGAAGGCGGCCCCCUGGACGAAGACUGACGCUCAGGUGCGAAAGCGUGGGGAGCAAACAGGAUUAGAUACCCCUGUAGUC
This 464-nucleotide ribosomal RNA is filed under the name uncultured bacterium. RNAcentral describes it as "partial 16S ribosomal RNA". It matches the Rfam family "Bacterial small subunit ribosomal RNA", at positions 339 to 795 of the family's 1533-position model. The record is from RNAcentral.